AGCAUAUCAAUAAGCGGAGGAAAAGAAACCAACCGGGGAUUGCCUCAGUAACGGCGAGUGAAGCGGCAAGAGCUCAAAUUUGAAAUCUGGCCCCUCCGGGGUCCGAGUUGUAAUUUGCAGAGGAUGCUUCGGGUGCGGUCCCCAUCUAAGUGCCCUGGAACGGGCCGUCAUAGAGGGUGAGAAUCCCGUCUGGGAUGGGCGGCCGCGCCCGUGUGAAGCUCCUUCGACGAGUCGAGUUGUUUGGGAAUGCAGCUCUAAGUGGGUGGUAAAUUUCAUCUAAAGCUAAAUACUGGCCGGAGACCGAUAGCGCACAAGUAGAGUGAUCGAAAGAUGAAAAGCACUUUGAAAAGAGAGUUAAACAGCACGUGAAAUUGUUGAAAGGGAAGCGUUGUCCACCAGACUCGCCCGGGGGGGUUCAGCCGGCACUUGUGCCGGUGUACUCCUCCCCGGGCGGGCCAGCAUCGGUUUGGGCGGUCGGUGAAAGGCCCCGGGAAUGUACCACCCUUCGGGGUGCCUUAUAGCCCGGGGUGUCAUGCGGCCAGCCUGGACCGAGGCCCGCGCUUCGGCGAGGAUGCUGGCGUAAUGGUGGUCAACGGCCCGUCUUGAAACACGGACCAAGGAGUCUAACAUCUAUGCGAGUGUUCGGGUGUCAAACCCGUCCGCGCAGUGAAAGCGAACGGAGGUGGGAGCCCCCCGGGGUGCACCAUCGACCGAUCCUGAAGUCUUCGGAUGGAUUUGAGUAAGAGCAUAGCUGUUGGGACCCGAAAGAUGGUGAACUAUGCCUGAAUAGGGCGAAGCCAGAGGAAACUCUGGUGGAGGCUCGCAGCGGUUCUGACGUGCAAAUCGAUCGUCAAAUUUGGGUAUAGGGGGCGAAAAGACUAAUCGAAACCAUCUUGGUAGCUGGUUCCUGC
This 911-nucleotide ribosomal RNA is filed under the name Talaromyces muroii. Its description in RNAcentral is "partial large subunit ribosomal RNA". It matches the Rfam family "Eukaryotic large subunit ribosomal RNA", at positions 37 to 961 of the family's 3401-position model. Lineage: Eukaryota; Fungi; Ascomycota; Eurotiomycetes; Eurotiales; Trichocomaceae. The record is from RNAcentral.